GCAGGAUCCAAAAUAUGAAGAUCUGAUCUCUGAUUUAUUUUUCUAACAAUUAUUUUUUUUUAGAUUUCAGAUUAUGAUUACAUAUUCGUUUCAAGAUCUUUGUUAUGAUUUUCAGAUCAAAUUUGAUACAUGAUUAAAUUAAAAAUAUUUUAAUUUAUUUACUUUCACUGCUUAAUGUCUAGAAAAUUUUUUUAAACUAUACGUAUGAAACCGUAACAGUUUUCUAACAGUGAUUUCAGAGCAUAGGUUCUGAUACAAAUAUGAAAACCCCUC
Molecule: long non-coding RNA, 273 nt
Filed under: Elaeis guineensis (African oil palm)
Lineage: Eukaryota; Viridiplantae; Streptophyta; Magnoliopsida; Arecales; Arecaceae
Description: long non-coding RNA (EGUI_LNC001265)
Source: RNAcentral